This 72-nucleotide transfer RNA is filed under the name Spirochaetales bacterium. RNAcentral describes it as "tRNA-Gln". It matches the Rfam family "tRNA". From Rfam's summary of the family: Transfer RNA (tRNA) molecules are approximately 80 nucleotides in length. Their secondary structure includes four short double-helical elements and three loops (D, anti-codon, and T loops). RNAcentral also lists the same sequence under 2 other names. Lineage: Bacteria; Pseudomonadati; Spirochaetota; Spirochaetia; Spirochaetales. The record is from RNAcentral.
UGAGGCGUCGCCAAGUGGUAAGGCACCGGGUUUUGGUCUCGGCAUACCUAGGUUCGAAUCCUAGCGCCUCAG